CGGGGUACUCGAGUGGCGAACGGGUGAGUAACACGUGGGUGAUCUGCCCUGCACUUCGGGAUAAGCCUGGGAAACUGGGUCUAAUACCGGAUAGGAGCCAUUUUUAGUGUGAUGGUUGGAAAGUUUUUCGGUGUAGGAUGAGCUCGCGGCCUAUCAGCUUGUUGGUGGGGUAAUGGCCUACCAAGGCGGCGACGGGUAGCCGGCCUGAGAGGGUGACCGGCCACAUUGGGACUGAGAUACGGCCCAG
Molecule: ribosomal RNA, 247 nt
Filed under: uncultured Actinomycetales bacterium
Lineage: Bacteria; Bacillati; Actinomycetota; Actinomycetes; Actinomycetales
Description: partial 16S ribosomal RNA
Rfam family: Bacterial small subunit ribosomal RNA
Source: RNAcentral